This 53-nucleotide small RNA is filed under the name uncultured Faecousia sp. Its description in RNAcentral is "Streptococcus sRNA SpF59 (ldcC RNA)". It matches the Rfam family "Streptococcus sRNA SpF59 (ldcC RNA)". The record is from RNAcentral. Lineage: Bacteria; Bacillati; Bacillota; Clostridia; Eubacteriales; Oscillospiraceae.
GACCGCCGGAUAAAACCGGCUAAGGCCAUACGGACAGCCGGGUCGGAUGCCGA